UAAUUCGAAGCAACGCGCAGAACCUUACCAGCCCUUGACAUUUGGUGCACUUUCCAGAGAUGGAUUUUUCCCUUCGGGGACGCCAGGACAGGUGCUGCAUGGCUGUCGUCAGCUCGUGUCGUGAGAUGUUGGGUUAAGUCCCGCAACGAGCGCAACCCUCGCCCUUAGUUGCCAGCAUUGAGUUGGGCACUCUAGGGGGACUGCCGGUGAUAAGCCGAGAGGAAGGUGGGGAUGACGUCAAGUCCUCAUGGNCCUUACGGGCUGGGCUACACACGUGCUACAAUGGCGGUGACAGUGGGC
This 300-nucleotide ribosomal RNA is filed under the name lignin enrichment culture EE-34. RNAcentral's name for it is "bacterial SSU rRNA". It matches the Rfam family "Bacterial small subunit ribosomal RNA", at positions 947 to 1247 of the family's 1533-position model. The record is from RNAcentral.